This 28-nucleotide non-coding RNA is filed under the name Mus musculus (house mouse). The record is from RNAcentral. Lineage: Eukaryota; Metazoa; Chordata; Mammalia; Rodentia; Muridae.
UGNGAGCAGUGGUUCUUCCUUCAGGUAU